CCAGACUCCUACGGGAGGCAGCAGCAGGGAAUAUUGCGCAAUGGACGGAAGUCUGACGCAGCGACGCCGCGUGGAUGAUGAAGGCCUUCGGGUUGUAAAAUCCUUUUCCGGGCGAUGAGACAGGACACUAAGCCUGGGAAUAAGCGUCGGCUAACUACGUGCCAGCAGCCGCGGUAAGACGUAGGACGCGAGCGUUAUCCGGAUUUACUGGGCGUAAAGCGCCUGCAGGCGGUCAGGUAAGUCGGUUGUGAAAGCCCCGUGCUCAACGCGGGGAGGCCAAGCGAUACUGCGUGACUUGAGGGCGGAAGAGGGGAGUGGAAUUCCCGGUGUAGCGGUAAAAUGCGCAGAUAUCGGGAGGAACACCAGUGGCGAAGGCGGCUCCCUGGACCGCACCUGACGCUCAGAGGCGAAAGCUAGGGGAGCGAACAGGAUUAGAGACCCUGGUAGUCCUAGCCCUAAACGCUGGAUGCUAGGUGUAGGGCUGAUGAGGCUCUGUGCCGGAGCGAACGCGAUAAGCAUCCCGCCUGGGAACUACGGCCGCAAGGCUAAAACUCAAACGAAUUGACGGGGACCCGCACAAGCAGCGGAGCGUGUGGUUUAAUUCGAUGCUACACGAAGAACCUUACCUGGGUUUGACAUGCUGGUGGUACCGAACCGAAAGGGGAGGGACCCUUCGGGGAGCCAACACAGGUGCUGCAUGGCUGUCGUCAGCUCGUGCCGUGAGGUGUCGGGUUAAGUCCCGUAACGAGCGCAACCCUUGCUCUUAGUUAUACGUGUCUAAGGGGACUGCCGGCGACAAGCCGGAGGAAGGUGGGGAUGACGUCAAGUCAGCAUGGCCUUGAUAUCCAGGGCUACACACACGCUACAAUGGCCGGUACAAAGGGCAGCCAAGCCGCGAGGUGGAGCGAAUCCCAGCAAAGCCGGUCCCAGUUCGGAUUGCAGGCUGCAACCCGCCUGCAUGAAGUUGGAGUUGCUAGUAACCGCGCGUCAGCCAUAGUGCGGUGAAUACGUACCCGGGUCUUGUACACACCGCCCGUCACGUCAUGGGAGUUGGCAACGCCUGACAGCGGUAGCCUAACCGAAAGGAAGGCGCCGACUAAGGCGGGGCU
RNAcentral lists this ribosomal RNA (1109 nucleotides) under uncultured organism. Its description in RNAcentral is "bacterial SSU rRNA". It matches the Rfam family "Bacterial small subunit ribosomal RNA", at positions 331 to 1469 of the family's 1533-position model. The record is from RNAcentral.